AUUGAACGCUGGCGGCAUGCUUUACACAUGCAAGUCGAACGGUAACAGGCCGCAAGAUGCUGACGAGUGGCGAACGGGUGAGUAAUGCAUCGGAACGUGCCCAGUCGUGGGGGAUAACUACUCGAAAGAGUAGCUAAUACCGCAUACGAUCUAUGGAUGAAAGCGGGGGACCGUAAGGCCUCGCGCGAUUGGAGCGGCCGAUGUCAGAUUAGGUAGUUGGUGGGGUAAAGGCUCACCAAGCCAACGAUCUGUAGCUGGUCUGAGAGGACGACCAGCCACACUGGGACUGAGACACGGCCCAGACUCCUACGGGAGGCAGCAGUGGGGAAUUUUGGACAAUGGGCGCAAGCCUGAUCCAGCAAUGCCGCGUGCAGGAAGAAGGCCUUCGGGUUGUAAACUGCUUUUGUACGGAACGAAACGGCUCUGGUUAAUACCCGGGGCUAAUGACGGUACCGUAAGAAUAAGCACCGGCUAACUACGUG
RNAcentral lists this ribosomal RNA (482 nucleotides) under uncultured bacterium. RNAcentral describes it as "partial 16S ribosomal RNA". It matches the Rfam family "Bacterial small subunit ribosomal RNA", at positions 30 to 507 of the family's 1533-position model. The record is from RNAcentral.